Molecule: non-coding RNA, 387 nt
Organism: Vicia faba (fava bean)
Lineage: Eukaryota; Viridiplantae; Streptophyta; Magnoliopsida; Fabales; Fabaceae
Source: the annotation of a GenBank genome assembly
GUCUUAAAGAGAGGAUAUAGUCCGCAUCUCAACCUGAUAAUUUCUUCGGUGACAAAUAUUUUAAAAUCCGAAAACAACAUAUUCUUUUGCAAACUGCAAUUGAAGAUUUUUGUUGGAAUAAUUCGGUGUUUUAAUUUCUUAGAUGUUAGGGCUAGGAGUUAUCGCGAAAAGAACUCAACAGGCUUAACCAAACGGUUUAGGGGAAGGUGCUUCCAAGAAGAACGCAUUUGUAGCAGGAAUCAGGAUGAUUCGUUUACAGAAAUGUCGAUGCUUCAAGGGUUUUGGUCAUCUAUUGUUUCUAGAGCUGAAGAAGAGACUUCAAAAUGUUGGCAUUCACAUCUUCUGUUGGGGAGACAAAUAUUGUGUGUUUGGGGCUGUUACGCAUGA